AUAAUGGUUUGGUUGUGUCCCCACCCAAAUCUCAUCUUGAAUUGUAGUUCCCAUAAUCCCUCUGUGUCCUUGGAGGGACCCAAUGGGCGGUAAUUGAAUCAUGAGAGUGAGGAGAGACAGGCUUUCAC
Sapajus apella (tufted capuchin) is the source of this 128-nucleotide long non-coding RNA. RefSeq lists it as uncharacterized. The transcript is spliced from 3 exons. The record is from RefSeq and is a predicted model, not a curated record. Lineage: Eukaryota; Metazoa; Chordata; Mammalia; Primates; Cebidae.